AUAAUUCUUCACGUUCCAAUUCCUUCUUUUUCUCUCUGUAGAUAAACCAAAAUUUUUGUAAUCAGAAAUUAUUUCAGAACCCAAAGAGAGGUGCUGUUUGACAGCUUACUGGAGAACACAUUACUUACCCACAUUUCACUUAAAUCCCUCUGCUAAAGCUUUGGAGUCCACUUACCUGGAGCACCUAAUUUCUUCUUGUCACUCUCCUAAAUGUACUGAGUCUGUGCAUCUCCUGUACCAGCUAGACGUUACUACUUGCUUUCUGUCCCCUACACAUUAUCACUACCAUGACACUGUACUUUAUAGUCAACAAAGUACUUACACGUCAAUUUUCUCACGUAAACAUCUUGCAGUUGUAGUAGUCUAAUCAGUAUUACAAAGGCUGAAGGGGCUGGCCACUAGGUCAGUAGGAAGCACUUCCUUCACCACACCAGACAGAAGCCACAUCAUUUUUGCCACUAACAGCCACAUCUCUAGCCACUAACCAGUUUGUAUCUUACUAGCUCCUCUUUUACAUGUCAAAUGAAAACUUUAGUUUCAGUAAUCUUUCUCUAGAACAAAAUGAAGGUCAAAAUAUUUCAUAUGUCGUUUCAACUAAUUAAUUUCAGUUCUAAGGAAAACAUUUCUGAGUAACUUGAACCUGUCUAUUCUGAAAGGCUCCAUGAACAUGUAAAACAUAGGCUUAUAAUUCUGCAGUUAUGAGUUAAAAGGACAAAUCCUUUUAAAGGAUUUGCUGAUUUAUGCAGGUAAGAAAUGAUGAGUAUAUUCUUAGUCAUGUGAAAUACAUAUUUUUCAAAUACAAGUUUCCUAUGAUCCUAGUCAUCUUAUUUUCUUCCCAUUGCUUCCUGAGGCUCAAAACAUGUACUUAAUUUCUAUUCCUGCCUGAAUGCUGCUAUUUAAAGGAAAUAAUGCAUUGAGUUAGUUAUUAAUGGGCUGGAUGGCUUUGAAGAAAGGCUAUCCAUUUUCUACUUUAAGAUAACCAUAACUAGGAACUUGUCAAAAUAGAUAGCUUUUCUAAACAGAACAGGUAAUAUGCUUAUUAGAAGUAAAUGGUAACUGUUAUCCUCAAAUAAUGGGUGGGCUCAGGUACACUGGUUACUAACCACUUAAGUUUAAGAAAGUGCUUCUUGAGUUUGAAAUAAACAUAUGAGAAGAAAGUAACUCUUGAAAGAUUAUUUUAUAGUAAUUUAUGAAAUUCUCAAAAAGAGGUAAUCACUAGGCCAUGUUCCUAAAGGCUGAUACGUGCUAACAUUUAUACUCUAAAAUACAUAUUAUUGCAAGGACAACAUAUUAAUAGUACCCUAAGCCAUAUCAUUAUGUGACUUCCCUCUUCCCAAAGGAGAACUAUGCUGACUUUAAAAUACCACCUUCUGAUAAUCCACAGCGUAAGAAUUACCUACUGCUAACAAAGAACACUUGAAAAGUAAAGCUCACUCUGGAAGCCCACGUGGACAAAAAGGAUUUUCGUAAAUGCAUGGAUAAAAAAUCAAAUUGUACAAAUUGAUAUUUAAAAUUCAGCAUAAAUUAUAUUUCAUAUGCAGAUGCUAACAGACUGAGGAAAUCUAAGGCUCAGAAUGAGAUAAACAGGAUUUAUGAUCCACAUUAAAAUCAUAAUCUAACCAUUUAGAGGAAGUAAAUUAUGUAACUACCCUCAAAAAUAAAUGCUACUGCUUUUUCUGCUUUAACAAAUUUAUAAAAAUACUGGGGCUAGUUUAUCUGGAAAUGACUUAUAUGUUAAGAGACUUUCACAUUGUAAUGUUUACUAUAAGGUAAUUAACUUCUUAAAUAUGAAAAUCUGAACUGAGAGAAGAUACCUUCCUGAACUGAAUCACAUUCAACUAACAUAAAAUGUAUAGAUAAUUUUGUAAUUCAAAAUAUCAAAUACCUCUGUCUUUCAGCUUUGUAUGAGCUAGUAAGGUCAUCGAAAAGCUUGCCAUUCAUUUCCAUUAGGGUUUUCAGCACAUUGUAUACCAGUGCUACAAUGGUCCUGAAAUGAAAAUGAGCCAGUCCUGAGUUAUGAUACUGCUAACAGAGAGGAAAUGUAACACUAUGGUCUCUAAAAUGGGUUAAAGCUUGGCUGAUUUCAUUUAAUCCAUUUUAGAGAUGAUAAAACUGAGGCUCAAGAGGUUUGUAAUAUGCUCAAGGUCAUACAGCAAGUGGUGGUAGAGACAGUCUAAGAAAACUUAAAUCUUUUCCAUUUUAUCAUGCUUACAUUAAACUCUAGUUAAAAAUGUUCACUAUAGUUAUCUUCAUUUCUGCUUUACAGUCUCAUGUCUGAAAUCCUGAGUAACAACAUUAAAAGAAGAUGAAAAAGAUCCAAUUACCAAAACUUAUGAAAAGUAGAAAGCCGGAUAAGGAU
RNAcentral lists this long non-coding RNA (2359 nucleotides) under Homo sapiens (human). RNAcentral describes it as "HSALNT0021409". Lineage: Eukaryota; Metazoa; Chordata; Mammalia; Primates; Hominidae. The record is from RNAcentral.